CGGCUACAAAAACAGGUCCUAAGACUAGUUAUCUGAACGGGAAAGUCACGUGUUUAAAGCCAGACCAGUAAAGUUUUUAACGGAACCUAGAAGGCCACCAAAACUGCAACGCAAACUGCCAAGAACUCCAGCGAGGCCAACCUUAAGUUAUGCACACAGAGAAAAACUUAAGCCAACUUGACAAUGAAUGUGUAUUUUCAGUGUACUUAUACGUCGAUGGACUCACCUCUGUACCCAUUUGAAGGAUGGCAGGGGAUUACCAUCAGCCAGGCACUCAAAGGCUGCAGGACUGAAAAGCGGGGCGGUGGUAAGGCGAUCCGGACCAGCUGAAAUAAUUUUGGGAGGAUCUGAAAGGAAGGGGAGAGCGCGGAAGAAAGCAGAGCCAGGUGAAAACUUUGUCCAAGGUAAAUAGUAAGAUACGUACAUUUCACAUCCAACUGCACCGACAGCUGCUCAGAGGUGCCCACCGAGUUCUGUGCCUGGCAGGUGUACAAUCCGGCAUCGCGACGCCCGACGGGACGCAAUUGCAGAGUUUCCUGUGGGCAAGAGAUUGGAGGUGGAGUGGGAUUGGAGAUAAAUUCCCAGCGAGGGGGUGACUCUACCCGAAGCAAUUUCGGAACAACAUAAACAAGCUGGGCGGUAGUAUCCGCAUCCUUAGCUGCAACUAAGCUAAGCUCACCUGCAAGCUGGCUAUCUCGGAGCGACCUGCCCGCCGCCAGACGAUGCUGGCCGGCGGAUUGGCAUCGGCCACGCAGCGCAGGACCAGGGCAUCCUUGUCCUCCUCCAAGUCGAUUUCCGGUGAGCCAAUUAGACGGAUGCUCGGCGCGUCUGCGAGAAAAACAGAACACAGGAACACAAAAUAGAAACAGAGAAACGGAGACGGAGGCGGAGACGGAGAUGGAGACGUUAAACUUGGUUAGGCAAAACAAAAACAGCAAUUGAAACUGCAGAAACAGCAAUGGCAGCCGAGCAAACAGAGUCAACAAGCCGGGCAAGUCCUGCUCCUGGCCACGUCCUCUGGGACAAGUCAACUCUUGAAUUGCUCAGCAAAACAGGAAAUUACAGCAAAUUGUUGUUAAUUUAAUUGUUACAGCUUUCUGUCUCCGAUUCGGAUUUGGAUUGUGAUUCCACUGCCACUUCUACUCGGUCUCCAUGCCUCUUGCUUAGAUUGCCUGGCCCUGACUUUAAGCCAAAUCGAAUGAAGCCACUUUAGUGGCCCGGCGCGCAUUCAGGCUGCAGGUGCUGUAUCAGAGUUUUGCAUAUCGUUAUCGCAACACUCACAUUUCACGUCCAGCCUGGCCUCCACCACCACCGAUUUGGCCGUGUAGGACUCGUGGUAGGCGGCACACCGCAGUAUAUCUCCGUGGCGCUCCCGCAUCGCCGACACCUGCACCACCGAGGUGGCCGACCAGGUGCGUGGAUUAUCCGGCUCGGUGGCAUUCAUUUGCGGGUGGAUGGGCGAGAUCUCCUGGUCGCCUGGGGGAGAGAGCAGCAGCAAAUGGGAAUUAAUUAACAUUAACAACUGCCGCUGGAUAACAACAGCCACUGAGGUAAUGCGGCAUGCUGCACCCAAAAAAAAAAUGUGCUAUCAGUCGAAUUGAAAUAAAUAUAACAAUUAAUAUUCAUUUGGGUUGCUGAAAAAAUAAACUAUUAAUCGUGAAAAAAUA
This is a long non-coding RNA of Drosophila mauritiana, 1667 nucleotides long. RefSeq lists it as uncharacterized. The transcript is spliced from 3 exons. The record is from RefSeq and is a predicted model, not a curated record. NCBI's taxonomy places the organism in Eukaryota, Metazoa, Arthropoda, Insecta, Diptera, Drosophilidae.